RNAcentral lists this ribosomal RNA (360 nucleotides) under uncultured soil bacterium. RNAcentral's name for it is "bacterial SSU rRNA". It matches the Rfam family "Bacterial small subunit ribosomal RNA", at positions 26 to 386 of the family's 1533-position model. The record is from RNAcentral.
AGAGUGAACGCUGGCGGCAUGCCUUACACAUGCAAGUCGAACGGCAGCACGGGAGCAAUCCUGGUGGCGAGUGGCGAACGGGUGAGUAAUACAUCGGAACGUGCCCAAUCGUGGGGGAUAACGCAGCGAAAGCUGUGCUAAUACCGCAUAAGAUCUACGGAUGAAAGCAGGGGAUCGCAAGACCUUGCGCGAAUGGAGCGGCCGUAUGGCAGAUUAGGUAGUUGGUGGGUAAAGGCUCACCAAGCCUUCGAUCUGUAGCUGGUCUGAGAGGACGACCAGCCACACGUGGGACUGAGACACGGCCCAGACUCCGUACGGAGGCAGCGAGUGGGGAAUUUUGGACUAUGGGCGAAAGCCUAG